GCCACAUGUAGAGACAGCAGUAGAGCCAAGAUCAGAAUGCAAGCAUGCCUGGCUCCUAGGACUGAGUUUAGAUCACUGUCUCUCUCCUUCAGUUCUGGUUUAACCUUAUUUAUUUUGAUUUCUAAUUAUGAAACUGGGAAGUAAAAUUAACAUGCUCCUACCUUCUUAGCUGGAGUAUCCAAACCAGGGUUAAGUAAAAUAGGACAAAUGGAUGGUGCAUAUGGAAUGAUAUUCACUUGUCCUGUUUGUUGGAGCAAAGGAGGCCCUGGCUUGGUUUGGAAACAGGUGGCUGCAUGGGGGUCUCUCUGGGCAUUAUAAGGAGGAAUUGCAGAACCCAGCUUUGGUGAACGACUGCAAUCCCUAGCAAUGCUUUCUACUGCCACAGAAUCCAAAAUGAAUAGUAGUUCCUUAAGUUCCAGGUCAGCUUUAGAAGGAGAUGGUGCAAAAUGACUUGGGUGGUGCUAUGUCCUUUUCUUUGCAGGCGCCAUUCAUUUUCCUUGGGAAGGAGAGAGGACAAGAAGAAAAGGAAUAAGCUGCUCCCAUGUUAUGAGUAACUGCACUCUCUUCUCUACUGGAAAACCUAAACAAGCAGCAACAAUCCCAGUGUGUGUUGCUAUGGCCACACACCCACAGAGCUGGGUUCAUUACAGAGCAAGGUGAAGUCUUUCUACAGCCACAUCAGUGUUCAGCACAGAAGAACCCUACCAUAGGAUUAGUGCAGACCCACAGCAUAAGGAGGCCAGUUGCCUAGUUCUUGAAGUGGCUUGGACAUGUGAGUUUAGAUGGUGAAAACAUCCCACUUUUGUUCUUGGUGCAUGUGGACUGUACUGGCAGCGUGUGCCUGCUGCCCAGGAGCGUAUUGACCUGUCAAUCUUCAAACUUCAGCGUCCUAUGUAGAUGCUGGGAGUCCUGCCACCAAACCCCAGGGCUGGCUCUUAUUCUCUGCAUUUCAACAGCUGACUUCUGGAGGUCCAGAGCUUUAGGAAAUCCUUAUCUGGAAAAAAGCUCUGAGAAUCUUUCUGGUUUCUUGUGUCUAGUCUGCAGCAGUUGUUGAUGGAGGGCAAUCAAACUGGAUCUGUGGUAGUUUUACCAUGUCAUGAAUGUGGGUGAUUGAAGUGCUCUAGAGCCAUGUUCCUGUGACUGCUCCCUCUGAUACCUUGCACAAGUGAUGAUGCCUUGACUUUCAGAUGUACAAACAUAACUUGUAUCACAAUGUUCACCACCCUUCUGCCAAAGAUUUCACACAGACAUUUGUGAAACCUGAGGCAGAUGUUCAUCCCAUUUUACAGAAGAGGGAACUGAGGUACUGCAGUGAGAUGUGACUUGCCCCAGAUCAUGCAAGAUGCCUGUGGCAGGACCAAGAAAUGUCUUUUCUGAAAGGCUUCCGGGAAGCUGCCUGAGUCCAAGUUGCUGCAAAUAUGUACAAAAGCUAAACACAGAUUUAAAAUGAAACCCUUUUAUAUCAAGGUCUCCAUAUUUUCAAGGUUAAAACAAGACAUAAAUCCUAGGGCAGAUGUGUUCACUGGAGCUGGUUUUAGCAGAGUCAGAUAAUGUGUUUGGAAGAAUUUGGCAGCUUAGAAAGAGAAACAGAAAAGGUAGCCAUUUCCCCCCACCUAUACUCACUGUACCUGGGCUUCUCUUCUCUCUUCAGCUGCACCCCCUCCUUUUUCUCCUUCAGCAUCCCCUCACUGCCAGCCCUUCCUUUCUGCCACACUCAUUCUCUUGAUUGUGUUCACUAGACCUCUGCCUUGCCUUUGCCUCUUUCAGUUCCGCCACCCCUCAUCUGCUGCCUGGGGUAAAAGAGGAGGGCAGCUAUGUGGCCACAUCCCCCCAUCUGAAGUAGUAGCUACCCAGAGGUGCUGGUGAUGGUGUGGCUCUGAGAGACUCCAGGGGGGCAUUGUAGAUGGAGAGCUAGUGCCUGUGGUGCACGUGUAUUCAUCCUACCCACUGUCAGUUUUAUUAGCUUAGCUGAUUUGUGACUUGUGUGCCCAGUGAUGGGGAUUUCCAAAUCAGCUAAAACAGUUUUCUGUAAAAGUAGCAGGGACAAGCCUGGUAUUGAGGAACUCUUGGGAAAAAGACUGUAUAAAUAAAACAGGCUCUGCUGUUCAUUCACACUAAUGCAGUGUGAGCGAUGAGUGCAGUGGGCAAGAGUCAGUUCAUCUUUUCUUGAAUAAAAACAAUGAGGAAGAUGGGAGGCAGAAGGACCAGAAGACCUGAGGUUUGCCCUUCUGGAUGUGACUCAGAUUCAUGGGGCCAUUUCUGACUAGAGAUACGUGUAUAUUUUCUUGGAUUACUGAGGGAAGAGGUCUUGUUCUGGAUCUCGGAAGAAUUGGGGCAGGUGUUUGUGCCUGGAAAGUUUUGGGGAUGUAACCCUGUUAAUCACCACACCAGGUGCAGUGUGAACCCACACACAUGCACUGCCCCAGCAAUGACCCUUCUUCCAAUCCGGAAGAAUUUCCCUCCCUGUUUUAGGCUUUACAUCACAUCUUCAGCAUGGGCCUCUCCUGAAUGCACUCUAGUAUUCAUGCUUGGGGUCCAUUAGGAGCAAAGGUCAUGAAGCCCUUUUCACGUACAAUAUGUCUAGCUGGGUGUGUGCAAGUUUACUUGGGCCCCAGAGGAGAGAAAAGGGGCCUCCAUGACACUUCUGUCUGGCAGUUUUCCAAGUGGCCUCUGCUUAUGGGUUUGCUCUGUAGGAACCUAGGAAGGGCAUUUUCCAAAAAUUGAUCGCGUGCAACUUUCUAUGACCUUGUAUCCCUUGCUUUAUUUUUAUGAAUGAGGCUCUAUUAAAAGCAGGGGGUAAAUGUU
Molecule: long non-coding RNA, 2805 nt
Organism: Gavialis gangeticus (Gharial)
Lineage: Eukaryota; Metazoa; Chordata; Crocodylia; Gavialidae
Exons: 2
Source: RefSeq, a predicted model, not a curated record